RNAcentral lists this ribosomal RNA (492 nucleotides) under uncultured bacterium. RNAcentral describes it as "partial 16S ribosomal RNA". It matches the Rfam family "Bacterial small subunit ribosomal RNA", at positions 29 to 507 of the family's 1533-position model. The record is from RNAcentral.
AGUGAACGCUGGCGGUAGGCCUAACACAUGCAAGUCGAACGGCAGCACAGUAAGAGCUUGCUCUUACGGGUGGCGAGUGGCGGACGGGUGAGGAAUACAUCGGAAUCUACUUUUUCGUGGGGGAUAACGUAGGGAAACUUACGCUAAUACCGCAUACGACCUACGGGUGAAAGCAGGGGAUCUUCGGACCUUGCGCGAUUGAAUGAGCCGAUGUCGGAUUAGCUAGUUGGCGGGGUAAAGGCCCACCCAGGCGACGAUCCGUAGCUGGUCUGAGAGGAUGAUCAGCCACACUGGAACUGAGACACGGUCCAGACUCCUACGGGAGGCAGCAGUGGGGAAUAUUGGACAAUGGGCGCAAGCCUGAUCCAGCCAUACCGCGUGGGUGAAGAAGGCCUUCGGGUUGUAAAGCCCUUCUGUUGGGAAAGAAAAGCAGCAGGUUAAUACCCCGCUGUUCUGACGGUACCCAAAGAAUAAGCACCGGCUAACUUCGUG